UCCAAAUUGAAUCAGAAAUCCUAAUUCUCAAAUCCCAUAAACCCUAACCCUAAUUUUCUCCCUUUUCUCCGCCUCUGAACACACCUCCACCCCCUUUUCUUCCUAAACACAAUACACACAAAACAGAGAAAGAAACGCAGAGAUGGAGAGGAAGAAGAGAAGGAGAAGGGUGUGGCACCGCUGGCUGGGUACCGCCGCCGUCCAUCCCAUCGUUGCGCCGUGCACGUCGAGCCCGUCCCGCCGCUGACAUCGCCGAAAGGAGAGCGACCACCAUGAGAGAGCCGUCGCCACGCAGCCGCCGUCCUGUUGCCAACGCCUUUGCGGGGGAAGACCGGAGCCGAGACAGGGAGUAGCGUCGCGAGGGAGAGAGAGGAGGUUGGGUCGCGCUGUCCGUGGAGCUUGCCGCCGUCGCCGUUCAAGCUACUGCUGCUGCCACACUCCACGCCGUCGCCGUCGUCAUUCGUGGAGGAAGAGGAAGCAAGUGCGACCGAGGAGAGCGAGAGAGACCGAAGCUGCGAGGGAGAGGAAGUGACGCACGCAGGAACUGCGAGCCAAAGGAGCCACUGACGUUGCUGUUGUGGCCAUCGCCAUCACCGUGAGUGAAGUCCGCCGCUCGUACUAAUUGAGACUGCCGAAGUUGCUGUUUGACUCUGAUGUAAUUCAUCCUUGUCCCUGUUCACGGUUGUCCUCUGUUCUUCCUCUGCUUUUGAUCUUCGCAGUUACCUGAAUCUCUACCGCCAUGGGUAUUGCCGUUGGAGUCGCUGGGAACCAAUGUUGGAGCUGCCCUUGAUGAUUCGGAUGCUGCUACGUAGGUUUGGAGCUGCUGUGUUGUUGCCGGAGGAAGGGAACUCAUCAGAAAAAUGUAAUUGAGGCUGAUGUUUGGUUUGAUUGCGUAGUUAACGUGACAUUGAGGUUCGAAGACUCCGUUUGAAGCUGCGGGCGAUUGUUAGACCUUAUUUAUGAGUUAAGUGUAUAUGGAUGAUUCACGACAAAAGGCUGAGUCAUGAGUUACAGAAAUUUGUUGGUUGGGAUUUCUGCUGGAGGCCAUUGAAAAGGUCAUGAGGUUGAUGGUUUUGAACGGUGGAGAUUUUGCAUCAACAAUUAUGAGUUGGAAACACUCACAUUGAAUUGAUGGACUCAGUCAUGUAAUUUUCAAUUUAAUUAUAUCAAUGCUGUUUAAUUAGUUUACUGUUAAUUGUGUUGAAUUGAUAACAUUAUUUUGUAUUUGCACAUCAGGUGUAAUAUAUCCCAGGCGCACGAAAAAAAAAAAAGAAAAUGUCGUCUAUGUUUCAUCACAUUGAAUUGCUGGCUGCCUUGGCGUAUUAUCCUAGCAUCGAAUUGUUCGGAUAAGAUUAUAAAGAAAAGUAAAAUAAAA
Non-coding RNA from Arachis ipaensis, 1375 nucleotides. NCBI's taxonomy places the organism in Eukaryota, Viridiplantae, Streptophyta, Magnoliopsida, Fabales, Fabaceae. The record is from RefSeq and is a predicted model, not a curated record.